AUGGGAGAUUUUUUCUUUUUAUCCUUUGUAUGUAGGAUAUCUAAGAUAUGCUGAGAAUUGGGCUAAUAUUGGUUGAGAUGAAAGAUUGAAAACCUAAAAACUUCAAUAUUUUAAGAUCAUAAGAUGGUCCCAACCUCUCAUUUGAUUCAGUUGAUAAUCAUGUACUAGCAGCCCUGGUUUCAAUAUUAACCUUAAUUCAUGAUUCCACUGAGUUCUCUGAAAAAAUCCAA
Molecule: long non-coding RNA, 230 nt
Filed under: Elaeis guineensis (African oil palm)
Lineage: Eukaryota; Viridiplantae; Streptophyta; Magnoliopsida; Arecales; Arecaceae
Description: long non-coding RNA (EGUI_LNC024397)
Source: RNAcentral